This 74-nucleotide transfer RNA is filed under the name Desmodus rotundus (common vampire bat). Its description in RNAcentral is "partial transfer RNA-Ser". Lineage: Eukaryota; Metazoa; Chordata; Mammalia; Chiroptera; Phyllostomidae. The record is from RNAcentral.
UGGAGAAAGACAUAGAGGAUAUGCUGUUGGCUUGAAACUAAUUUUUAGGGGGGUCGAUGCCUUCCUUUCUUAUU